This is a long non-coding RNA of Gasterosteus aculeatus aculeatus (three-spined stickleback), 8969 nucleotides long. The record is from Ensembl. NCBI's taxonomy places the organism in Eukaryota, Metazoa, Chordata, Actinopteri, Perciformes, Gasterosteidae.
CUCUUUAUUAAUUUCUCCAAAUAACCAUGCAGCACUCGGAUGUAUAGAAAAAAGCUCUCUCUUUAUUAAAACGCACUGUCAGUGGCAAGGAGAAUGUCAUCAGGCCCCCCCCCCCCCCGAUAAAACCCCCCUCAAAUAAACAGAAAGAAUGAGUAGCGCUCCACUUUAUUCAACGCGGCGACAGUUAUUACAUUAUCAUUUCAUCAUGGCUUUUUGGCAAUAUAUCAGCGGAUACACACGUUAUUUAUUCAUAGAUGCAUUUUUAAAAAGGCACACGAGAUACAGCAUCGCUAAUCUCCACCGAGUCGACACAAUCAAAUAUACAUGAAUACAAUAUCAGUGCGAGAUGGGAGAGCGGCGCGUGGGCGUGUGGUGUGGAUGGAUUCAACUUUAUUCAUAUGAAGAACAAGGACAGGGAACAAGGAGGAAUGAGGAGGGUGGUGGAGGACGUUUACUCUGUCGCAUUUCUUUUUAUUUCUCCACAGAGAUUUCUAUUGGACUCGCCUGAAGUCUUUUCUGAGUGUGCGUUGCUUUUUGUGGCCUGAGCGAAUCUCUGGUGUUGAACGUGUGUGUGUGUGUGUGUGUGUGUGUGUGGUCCUGGCAGUAUAUCCUUGCUUUAAGGCAAGUGUCUAUUUAAUGAGGCUUUACUGCAAAAGGAGCUCCCUAGGACGUGCUCUGCAUUUCAAACACUCUUCUGCAGCAUGCGGACCACCAGCACACACACACACACACACACACACACGCAGCACGUGGCAGGUUUUGUGUGUGUGUGUGUGUGCGCCAGCGCUGCCUGGCCAAAGCAUUGGUCGGUGGGUUUUUGUCAAUGUGAGGCAACCUUUGUGAUGCAGUGUGUGUCUCUCCUCCCGCUCUCCCUGUCACACACUUUCUGCCUCUCGCCCAACCCCCCCCCCUCCAUUCCACCCCCCCCGUCCGUCCGUCACCUCUCUGACCUCCUGUUCAUGUAUCUCACUGUUGAUGCUACUCUCUCCUGCCUCCUCCCUCUCUCUCUCUCUCCCUCUCGCUCUGCGUUUCUGCUUUGCCGUUUUCCCUCUCGUCCGUAAAAAGGUCCAGAUCUCUGAAUAAUACAGAACAUCUGUGGAAAGAGAGGAGAUUCCAUGCAGUCGGACCCCGGCGGACAGGCACAGGUCGGGGAGGGCCAUGUAUAUUUACACACAAAGGCCCAAACGCAAAUCCCGAAGCAGCAUCUAGAAUGCAGACAAUGGGAACGCGCUCUGUGCUCAUCGGCUUUGGAUGGAAGGGGGCCGGGAGGACGGGAGGACAGGAGGAUGGGGGGGAGUGGGGGGUGAGGGGGGAGGGAGCCUGUCAUUGUGCGUCUGACAAUACCAGCGCCUCAGUAAAUAUUAUGAGCGGAGCUUCCAAAACAAAGACUCCCGUCCAGCCACUUUUCGCUUCCGGGGCGCUCUGAUGAGCCAACGUGGCCCCCCGAGAGUGAAACCCAAGCCUGCAAUCGGGACGAUGUGGCGUCUCCCUGCGUGCGCCUCGGCCGCGCUUCGUUGUGUCUGGAGGAGAACGAGGUGUUUGGCCUCAUUAGUGGCGCCGCCGCGUCGCUCAUAAUGAAUGCUAUCAGCCCCUAAUGACAAGUAUUGUUCUUGAGCACAACUAAAUCACAGACUUCAUCAGGGAGCAUUUUAGAGAAGAGGUCUGUGACUCAAGCCCCAUAGUUACCCCCCCCCCCCCGCCCCCCACCCACACAAAAAUCAAUCCCUCACUUAGACCAAAGCCACUGCUAGAUGCCCGUUCCGCUAUCGACCAGUGCAAGUGGGAGUUUGGGGAGGGCGGCUGACGGGAGAACGGGGGGCAGAGCACAAUGAAGAGAAAGUGGAGAGGAAUUGAUUUCUUUGGUGAUGGGGAUUUAGCAUCAGGCGCCAAGACAAUUAGGAAAGUUUUCAUCGAAUGAAAACAUGACUCCAUAUACAUUUCUUUUCCUCUCUGUUUUGAGGCCACGUGUUAGCUGAAGGUGGCGAUGGACCGGAGUAGCUGCAGAAGUUGCUUAAGAGUUGAGCGGAUGAUUCUUUCAGAGGUGAUGAAAAAAAAGACACCGUGUCCAUGUGGAUUUGUGCAUCUCUUCUAACCUUCAGCCCACAAACUCCGAGGCCUCCGGCAGAUUUUUUUCCGCUUUCGAACACAUGAAUCGGACAUAAAGUGGCUGCUCUCAUUACUCGUAUUAAAUCCUGACACUUAAGAUUAUUAAGGAUAACUGCAAGGAAAGCCAAACCAUGGCAGUGAACCGGGUUACAUUCCCCAAAAGCUUCCCGGGGGAUUAUUUAGAGAUCAUAGUUAAUAGUAUGAGACUUGCAAUGACUUUUUGGAGCUAAAUGUCUUCAUGUUAAUGUCGCUCACUCUACGGCUUUUGUUUCGUUUCGUUUUACGUAACAAUCAUCAGCAAAGGGGAAACGUUGGGCUUUUUACUAUUUGCCUGAAGAAAUUCCGCUGUCAAAUAGUUGACGGCACUCGUCCCGAGAGGACGGCGCCUGAACCUCUUCACCUCAGCGGGGUAUUCACUGAUAUUUCCCUAAAAGAAUUCAAUUGUGUCAGAGGUUCUAAAUUUAAAUCAGCUGCGUCCCGCUGGCGUUCGGGGGGCUGUCACAUGUUUAAUUUUCCAGGUGCGGCUUUAACAUUGAUUUGUAAAUGCAUUUUACUCAACUUAAUUUCAUCACUCCGCAGGCAUCGACCUCAACUCUCGAGGGUGUCGGAAUUGCUUUUCCAUCACAAAAUAGGCUGUUUGUGGUUGGCAGGAGCACCUGAACCGAGAUGGGAUUGGCCCGGGGGGCGGGGGCGGGUACGGUACCUGUCGGGGUGGGGUGGGAGGGGGUCGAGGGCUGGUAACGAACAUGGCGCAGACCCGGCGGGUUGGCGCAGCAGGCUGCAAUCUAAUCAGCGCCGCGCCUUAUUUUCAUCCAGACGUGGGCGGAGAAUUAGAUAUUUAACGGCGGCGGCUUUAUAUCCCAAUCACGCAGCUCAGGGUCGGCACCGUGGACACCUCGUUAAGUGGCUAGAUGGGUCCAAUCAGCCCGGCGCGGGUAGCUUGACGUCGGCGUCCGUGCGUGAGUGUGAUCGAACGCGUUCCUCUUUCGGUGUGUCUGCGCGGGGCUCGUGUUUGGGGGCGUUUGAUGUCUGUAGACUGGCACAAAUUGGCAAUCAGGUGAGGUUGGCAUGGACGAGGGCCUCUCCUCACCGGGAUCCUGACUCCAAUUGCCCCCCCCCCCCCUUCUCCCCUCUCCCAUCCCUCCCGUCUCCCUCGCGCCAAAAUCGUUUUAACUUGACCCUGACAGGUGCUUCUGACAAAACCCAUUACAGUCUCAAUUACGCUGUAUACCCCCACCCCUAUUCCGCUCCUCUUCCUCUGCUUGUUUUUUUUUUUGCCCUCGCCAUCCCUUUUCCCAUUCGCUUCGUUGAUGCCCCGUGACUGGCAGGGAGCUCUAAGCGCUUCCCUCCUGAGUCCAUCGGCAGGCUGUCAGCGCGUCUGUAUCUCAGUCCUCUUAAUUAGCCUUGGUGGGACCAAUUCUUUUGUCUUCAUUAGGACGACUAGAGCAGAUGCGGGGUGAGGCGUGGAGAAUGUAAUAGAGGGACGACUGUCUGAUGCACAUGAGGGAAGAAGAGUUGUUUAUUAAUGCGAGAGAUGAAUUGUAUUGUCCCUGGAGAAAGGUACUCAGAAGUGAUGAGGAAGUUAUUUUUUUCCUUGACCAAGGCACUUCUGUCAGGUUUAUUUGGUUCAAUCUCUCACGUAAUAGAAGGUAAAUCAACAUACUCCCCAUUUGAUUCAAUGCAUAGUUUGACAUUUGGGGAAAUGCGAUUUUUUUUUUGGCUGUCUUGCGAGGAGUUCCGUCUAUAUGCUAAUUUAAUCGUUUCGCAUUUCCCCUUACGCUAACCAUACAGGUAUUGUACCUCUCAGCUAAUAUUGGAGAGAAUGGUAUGUCAGCGUUUGUCAAAAUGAAAUGGCAUAACUAUAAUCUUUGAAACUGGAGCGGACUCCGACCAAAAGAAACAUCCCUGCUGGGGUCUGCCACAGUAUGUGUGUGCUCAUUUUACUUCAAGGUACCGGAACACCAAAUGUUAAUAUUAUCUAGAUGUGGAUUAUCCUCUCACUUCAUACAUUCCCUUCACCUGUUCGCCACUUGCACUGGUUUUGCCAUCCUGGGGGAGGAAAGGUGAGCAGGAGAGGUCGCGGCGAUGCGUCGAAGGAGACAAGCGCGAGCAGCGAGUGAUGAAUCUCCGCCGCCGUCUGCAACGCUCUCCGCUUCGUCGGCUCUCCCCCUCGUUUUCUGACCCAAAUCUAAUGCGACAAAACUUGUCUUCGCCACCCCCACACACCGAAACACACACACACCUUCUCCCACCAAGUUGUGCACGACCCCUUCUAUUUUUAGCUCUUUGUCCUUGAGUUAAACAUCCCUGAAAAUUGCCAUGAUCCAUAAAGGACUGGUUUGUCUGGCUUGAGGGGGAAAACACACACCCACUCGGGCCAACAUUAUCCUCCCUCCAGCCCCACCCCUCCCCUAUGCCACCUAAUGGUCUGUGUGUGUGUGUGUGUGUGUGUGUGUGAGAGAGAGCAACAAAUCGUUACCAAUUUCAAGUCUUUCGCCAUUACUGGAGCGAAUAUUUUACUCAUUAAAGAGGUGAAAUGGAGGGAGCGUUAAAUGAGUGUAACGCUGACAGAUCAGGCUGUUCUUUUUCUCUGAAAACCCCCCCCCCGCCGCCCCCCACCUCUCGCCCCCCCGCCCAUCACCAAACACACUCACCCUCGCCUCAGAAAGUUAUCCACUGUAGCCAAUUAGCAUGACUGCUCUCUCCAGCGUUAGCCCCCCUUUCUCUCUCUCUCUCUUCCUCGUCUAUCCCUUUACAGCCCCUCUUCCCAUUCUCUCUUUUUCUCAUUAGGGCCGCGUCGUAACACCGUGAAUCAUAAUAGGUGCUCCGCACUGUGAAAUGUCUUCAGCUUUGUCUCGUCUCGCCGAUUGCAGCUGGGAAAUGAGUAAACACACAGAAGCACAGAAACACACCCGCUGACGCUAUCGGGGCCGUCCAUUAAUCUGUCGUGAAGCAGUUUUCUUCUGGUCCGCCUAAAUAAAUUCCUGUUGUUCGGGGAUGAAGAGAGUCAGCGUGUGGGUGGGCGAUAAUCCGCGGUUGAUGGCGUGCAAGGCCGCGUACGACACACUGACGAUAAACCAAAUCCCCGCAAAGGAGUUUUGCAGCUGGGAUGUAAAAGAUGGAUGAGGGGAAGAGAUCGAGGGAGGUAAAGGGUGAAUGUGAUGGAAGGUGGACAGAUAGGAGGGAAAGAAGAUGGAUGGGUGGAGGCACGGAUGGUGGUGGUGCUGGUAACUGAGUGCGGCAGUGGAAGGAGACGGCGGCGGCGAGGCGUAUUCUAAGCCCUGAUUGUAAAUAUGGGUGAGGGGGAUUAUCAGAGAGUGCCAGGCGGCUCUUUUGGGGCUUUGUUUCUCUGUGACACGGUGACGUCGGCUUUGUUUCCCUGACAGCAGACGCGCGCGUGUGUGUGUGUGUGUGUGUGUGUGUGUGUGCGGUGUGUGCGUAAGGCAUCUGUUUCCUGCAGGAAAAGGUUAAUUACAUCUCUGCCGCCCGACCGGACGUGCCACGCAUAAUGGCAUGCGCCUAAUGAGACCUGCGUGUGUGUUUGUGGCUCGAUGGGCAAUCGUGAAAAGCCAGUUCCGUGGCAGCUGAAUAGAUCUGUUGGCCACUGUUUCAGGCUUUCAAAGGCUAUUGUUGCAGUCGAGGAGACAGACGAGCACGCGGAGUCGCGCACUGCCACGCGGCUGGCAGCUAGAAGCGCACGGCGGUGGCAUUUACGGAGCGACACUCCACUCCCACCGGGCGGGACAUUAAUGGAUGGGCCCGCGUCAUUGUGUGUGUGAGUGUAUUUUGUAAUUACUUGUCUCCCUAUUGAUGAGACUGAGAUGCUAUGGCAUCAGAGGAGGGAUGUCUCGUAAAGCCCUGUUGCUCAUCCUGACCCCUUGACUCCUAUCUUCACACUUCAGCUAAGCCGCUGAUUGGACAGCUGCUCUGCUUUCAAUCGGGCCCAGCUCAGGCGUGAAAGCCAAGAUGAGGCUCCCGGCCCUCCAGUGUGACUUUGGAAAAAAACUGUACACUUCUUCUUCUUGGCUGAAGUUACUGCAAAGUCUAACAAAAGCAACUAGGUGGGGAGAUGAUUUGGGGGGAGAAAGAGGGGGACCUGAUACAGUCCACUGGCGAGAAAUGGAUCAAACGGUCCGCUGCCAAGGGAAAAUUCGAGCGCAGGUAGCACGGUUAAGGGCACUGAGCUUGAGUUAAUAGGGGUUUGGUUUCUUGAAGAAUAUGGCUUGAGACAGCAUUGUUGAGUUUAUAAAGCUCAAAAAGUAGCAAAACAUGUCAAUCCUGAAACCUAUGUGACAAAAACCUUUCUCUGUUAUAAACGAUAAAAAGCUUGUACCCCGAUGAGGCGCCCUAACAAUCCCUGUUAAAGUAUCUUAAUGCAUACAACCCAGGGCUGUACAUUGCAGUCUGUUAAAGGAUAAUACCCUGAUGAAGGUGAGGACAGCAGCGCUGUCACACCUUUGUCUCCUGAUCCCUCCAUCGGUCACCCUCUUCCUCCUCCUUCUCCUCCUCCACUUUUUCCCUUUUCUUCUUUCCCAGUCCACGGUAAAAGCUGUUCAGGCCACAGAAGCAGGCGCAGGUGAAGGGCAUGGCCUAUCAGACGCCGCAGCGGAUCCACAAAGACCUGCAGAAGGAAGAGGGAUUGGGGGGAGAAGAGAGGAUUGUAGUUGUUAGGACGGUGCCGCCGUCAUCUGGAAAAUCUGCCAGGACAUCAUACACACGUCACGAGUCUUUUAAACACAAAAUGGAUAUCUGGUAUCAAAGGAAAAGGAAGGCAUUGAGGCGAAGUGAGUUCCUGAUUUCACAGAACUCUACGAUGAAAAGAUUCUGCCUCAUCCGGCUGUGUUUGAAUCACUUGCGGUUCGCCGAAAGGACUGUCCUAAAGUGAAAGGUCUGUUGAAGUGUGCAUGCAGUUUCCAUGUCAUGCUGUGCAGUGGCUGCUGCCUGCCUCCCAGCACAGUGGUGCUAUACAUUUUUAGCACUGAUGCCGUUAUUGUGCAGCACAAAUUAUUCCAGAAGUAUUGACACACGCAGGAACGGGUUGUUAAAUCUCUGCUCGGAGGAUGGCCUCGAGCUGAAAAAUGUUUGCAAUGAGAUUUUAAUAAAACAUGAAGCUGUGAAAACAUUAAAGAACCCAUCGUAUGCCCAUUUUACCACAGGUGGAUAUGGUUCCUUGGGUUCUUAUUGAAAUGUCUGUAACAUGCUUUGGUCAAAAUACUCCAAGGAUCAUUUAAAACAGCACUCUUUUUACCCUGUCUAAAACAGCCCUCCACAGAGUGACCUGUUUUGAGUGCCUGUUCCUUUAAAUGUUAAUGAACCAGCUACCCUUAGUCGAUCCUUCAUAGCUACUUUGUCGGGAACGUACCCUCAGUCGACCCCUCAUAGCUACUUGGUCGUGAACGUACCCUCAAUUGACCCCUUAUGGCUACGUAGUCAGGAAACUACCCUCAGUCGAUCCCUUAUGGCUACGUGGUCAGGAACGUACCCUCAAGUCAACCCCUCAUGGUUUCAUGUUCGGGAACGUACCCUCAGUCGACCCCUCAUGGCUUCAUGGUCGGGAACGUACCCUCAGUCGACCCCUCAUGGCUUCAUGUUCGGGAACGUACCCUCAGUCGACCCCUCAUAGCUACUUGGUCGUGAACGUACCCUCAAUUGACCCCUUAUGGCUACGUAGUCAGGAAACUACCCUCAGUCGAUCCCUUAUGGCUACGUGGUCAGGAACGUACCCUCAAUCGACCCCUAAUGGCUUCAUUGUUGGGAACGUACCCUCAGUCGACCCCUCAUGGCUUCAUGGUCGGGAACGUACCCUCAGUCGACCCCUCAUGGCUUCAUGGUCGGGAACGUACCCUCAGUUGAACCCUUAUGGCCACGUGGUCAGGAACGUACUCCCAAGCUACCACAUGGCUCCCACUCUCAAUUGCCUGUGAUGUAUCAUCAUCAUUUUGAUCAACUGCCGCUCUACAGUUGGAAAACCGAUUGAAUCUACUAAAUAUAUAGCGGACAGCUGUCAAAAAUCAUCAAGGCUCCGUGAGUGUUUAUGUGCAUCUGUGUCUUUGACGUUUUUUUGCAGCGCCAUCAGCAAAAAAAACCCCCACUCAAUGCAGAGAAAGUUACUGCAGUCAAGUGGAUCGGUCGGUCAACACACACCGCAGACUUGCACAUGCAAUGCGGUAAAGACUGGCCUGGUGGUCUAUUGAGCACUGUCACUCACAGGGAAGGGCUGAAACACUGCCAUUACUCUCCUUCUCACAUUUCUCUUCCCAUUGUGCUUGAACUACUCUCUCUACUCUCUUCCUCCUUCUCUUGCUCACACAGACUCUCAGCCCGAAGUAGUCUUGAGGCUGACCGAACCCCUAAUGUUAGCGCUUUUCUCCAGCGUGGCAAGCUGACUGCCAAUUUGCGAAGGAGCACAGAGAUUAGGACACGCAAGGUGAAACUGAGAGCUUCAUUAAAUACCAACCUGAGUCAGCAGCAUCAGCAGCUCUGGCUGGAGGGUGUAACGUGUGUGUGUGUGUGGGUGUGCGUAUGUAUGUGUUUUUGUUGCGUAAUGCAAGUGGGAGAGAAUGGGACAACAACAAGCACAGACCCAAAAAGUGUGUCCCUGUGUCUCUGUGUGUGGCUUUAGGGAUUGAUAUGAGCUUCAACCUGUCUCUUAUGGGAGCAAUUAGCUGAGCAAGACUCCGAGUUGCCUGCAAGCGGAGAGACAGGCCUCAGGCUAUGCCUGUGUGUGUGUGUGUGUGUGUGUGUGUGUGUCUGUGUGUGUGUAAAUACAUCUAUUAAACCUCGAUACGCUCUUCUCUAAUCCCUCUUCUGUCAUUCCGGAUAUCCAUCUUAUCCCCGUCUGCAGAUCUCCCACUCUGUACCCA